CUGCUCAAUGAAUAAUUUUAGAUAGCUGCAGUAUAAAUAACUGUACAAGGGUAGCAUAAUAAUUUGUUGUUUAAUUGAAAACUAGAAUGAAUGAUUAAAUGAAAUAUAAACUAUAUCACACUUACAAAAUAACUUUAUUAUUUAAAUAAAAAAAUUUAAAUAAUUUUUAAAGACGAGAAGACCCUAACGAAUUUUAAUAAUAAAUUAUAAUAUAAAUUUAUAACUUAUUAUAUUAAUUGGGGAAAUUUUAAAAUUUAGAAAAUUUUUAAUUAAAUAAACAUAUAUUUUUGAAUAUUUAAAAUUUUUUAAAAAAUUAAAUUAAAUUACCUUAGGGAUAACAGCAUAAUUUUUUUAAAAAG
Molecule: ribosomal RNA, 359 nt
Filed under: Cotesia sesamiae
Lineage: Eukaryota; Metazoa; Arthropoda; Insecta; Hymenoptera; Braconidae
Description: partial 16S ribosomal RNA
Source: RNAcentral